AGAUGUGAGGGCAAUCAGGCUGUGGCGUCUGUUGCCCCAUUGAUCACCAAAAUUUAUUUAGUUGCCUUGCCUGGCUAGGCAAGUGUCCCCUUCCUCCAUCACUCCACACAUGUCCCUCCCAAAGCUGCACUCUCAGUCUAAGAGUAUGACCUUCCCUGACAGGGGAGGACUUCUCUUCAGUCAAGGGUAUCUGUGUAGCAGCGCUCUCAUGCUGCAAUCUUCAAACAAGUUCUCAAGUUCCAGACUGUCCAGUGUCAUGCCAUACACUGCUGACAACCACAGAUCUUGCUUCU
Otolemur garnettii (small-eared galago) is the source of this 293-nucleotide unclassified non-coding RNA. Its record names the gene 7SK. It matches the Rfam family "7SK RNA". Rfam says of the family: 7SK was discovered as an abundant small nuclear RNA in the mid-70s but a possible function has only recently been suggested. Two independent studies have found that 7SK RNA binds the CDK9/cyclin T complex (known as elongation factor P-TEFb). P-TEFb activates transcription by phosphorylating the C-terminal domain of RNA polymerase II. The record is from Ensembl. Lineage: Eukaryota; Metazoa; Chordata; Mammalia; Primates; Galagidae.